CAUAGGUUAAUGAGGCGAACCGGGGGAACUGAAACAUCUAAGUACCCCGAGGAAAAGAAAUCAACCGAGAUUCCCCCAGUAGCGGCGAGCGAACGGGGAGCAGCCCAGAGCCUGAAUCAGUGUGUGUGUUAGUGGAAGCGUCUGGAAAGGCGCGCGAUACAGGGUGACAGCCCCGUACACAAAAAUGCACAUGCUGUGAGCUCGAUGAGUAGGGCGGGACACGUGGUAUCCUGUCUGAAUAUGGGGGGACCAUCCUCCAAGGCUAAAUACUCCUGACUGACCGAUAGUGAACCAGUACCGUGAGGGAAAGGCGAAAAGAACCCCGGCGAGGGGAGUGAAAAAGAACCUGAAACCGUGUACGUACAAGCAGUGGGAGCACGCUUAGGCGUGUGACUGCGUACCUUUUGUAUAAUGGGUCAGCGACUUAUAUUCUGUAGCAAGGUUAACCGAAUAGGGGAGCCGAAGGGAAACCGAGUCUUAACUGGGCGUUAAGUUGCAGGGUAUAGACCCGAAACCCGGUGAUCUAGCCAUGGGCAGGUUGAAGGUUGGGUAACACUAACUGGAGGACCGAACCGACUAAUGUUGAAAAAUUAGCGGAUGACUUGUGGCUGGGGGUGAAAGGCCAAUCAAACCGGGAGAUAGCUGGUUCUCCCCGAAAGCUAUUUAGGUAGCGCCUCGUGAAUUCAUCUCCGGGGGUAGAGCACUGUUUCGGCAAGGGGGUCAUCCCGACUUACCAACCCGAUGCAAACUGCGAAUACCGGAGAAUGUUAUCACGGGAGACACACGGCGGGUGCUAACGUCCGUCGUGAAGAGGGAAACAACCCAGACCGCCAGCUAAGGUCCCAAAGUCAUGGUUAAGUGGGAAACGAUGUGGGAAGGCCCAGACAGCCAGGAUGUUGGCUUAGAAGCAGCCAUCAUUUAAAGAAAGCGUAAUAGCUCACUGGUCGAGUCGGCCUGCGCGGAAGAUGUAACGGGGCUAAACCAUGCACCGAAGCUGC
Molecule: ribosomal RNA, 998 nt
Filed under: Escherichia coli
Lineage: Bacteria; Pseudomonadati; Pseudomonadota; Gammaproteobacteria; Enterobacterales; Enterobacteriaceae
Description: partial 23S ribosomal RNA
Rfam family: Bacterial large subunit ribosomal RNA
Source: RNAcentral